GUUAUACUGAUUGUAACUUCCAAUUUUUUUUACAAAACGUUCCAAUGAAAAUUAAAAAAUAUCUUUUCGUACCUUUAAUGCAAUAAUAUGUGCAUUUUGAAGCAUGCCGAUUCAGGCUCCCUCAUGGACAGAUUUUCUGAACUGUCCCAUCUGCUGCAAUGAAUUUGCAGCCAGCCAGCGCUGCCCCGUCAGCCUCGGCUGCGGGCACACCAUAUGCAAGCUCUGUCUGACUACCCUCUACAACCGGCAGUGUCCCUUCGAUCAGACCGUGAUUGUCAGCGACAUCGACAAUCUGCCCGUUAACCAUGCCCUUCUACAGUUGGUCAAGGAUUCGGAACUGGUGGAGGUGGGGCCUCCGCCGCCCAGUGUCCAAAGUUUGGACAUUGAGCAACUCAAGUGCUACCAGCUGGGCCAGAGGUGCAUAGAGGAGCUGGCUCUGCACCUUAAGUCCUUUCAGAGCUUGAACGGAAACGGCAAUCUGCUGACACGUCCCAUGCAACGGAAGCUAGUGACCUUGGUGAACUGCCAGCUGAUGGAGGAGGAGGGAAGAGUUCGAGCACUCCGAGCAGCUCGGUCGCUGGGCGAAAGAACUGUCACUGAACUGAUUCUGCAGCACCAAAAUCCCCAGCAGCUGAGCUCCAAUCUGUGGGCAGCUGUGCGAACAAGAGGAUGUCAAUUCUUGGGACCCGCCAUGCAGGAGGAGGUGCUUAAGCUUGUUCUGCUGGCUUUGGAGGAAGGCUCCGCUCUGUCGCGAAAAGUUCUGGUGAUGUUCGUCGUGCAGCGACUGGAGCCACAGUUUCCCCAGGCCUCCAAAACCAGCAUUGGACAUGUGGUGCAAUUACUGUACCGGGCCAGUUGCUUCAAGGUCUCCAAAAGGGAAGCGGACUCAUCGCUGAUGCAGCUCAAGGAGGAGUUUCGAACGUACGAUGCUCUGCGGCGUGAACACGAUGCCCAGAUAGUUCAAAUAGCGACCGAGGCGGGUCUAAGAAUUGCUCCAGAACAAUGGUCUUCCUUGCUGUACGGCGACGUAAUGCACAAGAGCCACAUGCAGAGUAUAAUUGACAAGCUGCAGACGCCCAGUUCCUUUGCACAAUCGGUCCAGGAGCUAGUGAUCGCGCUGCAGCGCACUAGUGAUCCAGCCAAGCUGGCUAGCCUGCAUCAUCACCUCAAGUACCUGGCUAACAUCGAUCCCUGUGCAGAGGUGGCUCCCUGGCCGGAUUUAGCUGAAGCCCUGGAUGCAGUACGCCAUUCGGUGGUUGGGCUCGUAAACUUCCUUCAGCACCACGGCGUACGAAAGUCCCAGGACGGUAUCGGUGGUGGCGGAAACGGAGGAGCAGCCAACAGCAAUCCCAAGUACAAGAUAAGUCUGUGUAGAGACUUAAAUGUGAGGCGGGUGUGUCCCAGGGGAGCCAGCUGCACCUUUGCCCAUUCCCAGGAGGAAGUGGAGCGUUAUCGAGCGAGAAAUCGCGGUAAGCACAUGAAGACACCACUGGUACUGCAAGGACCACCCGCCAUGGUUGGCGGAGCGAUGAAAAAAACGAUGGGAGCGGAACAAGAAGGACAGGCGGGCUUGGGUGUUCCUCCGCCCAUGUUGCCGAUGUCGCCUAUGCAUUAUAUGGCGUCACCAAGAAGCUACAUCGAACCGAGCCUUGGACUUUCACCAGGAGGCGGUAUUCCACCACCCGGCCAUCCACCACUACUUCAUCCAUCGCACCAUACGCCGAUGAACCGACUUAUGGUACCCGGACGCUAUGAUCCGCGCUUCGCCGGCUACGGAGUGGGUCAACCAAGAAAUCCGUCGCCCAGGGAAUACCAAAAUAAUCCAGGAGCUCCACCACCUCCACCACCCCAACGCAAUGCCAACCCACCGAACUUCAGUGUGAAUAGCAGCUUGCACAAGGGCUAUAUGUUGCCCGGCGGAGAUUCUUUGUUCCAUUUAGGCCCGACACAUCCCUGGGAGCAUGGCUAUCCCCAUCCCCAUCAGCAGCAUCCUCCACAGCAGCAGCAGCAGCAACAGCAGCCGCCGCAGCUACCGUCCAGCAAGCCGAAUCCGAAUCCCAGCCGACCGUUGUCGAUUUUAGCCGCAACAGCUGAUACCUCAUUUUUUGAAAAGAAACCGCCGAAUAGUGUUAACUUGGAUGUGGACGCGGAUGUGACUGAUGUUGAUCCUUUGUCCCGCUUCCGGCGAUCCAACAUUAAUAACAGUAGUAACAAUAACAACAACAAUAGUAGUUCCCACAACAACAACCACAACAAUAAUAAUAAUCACGGCUCCUCACUGCUGUUUUGGAAUAAUUCGAGUAAGGAGUCUGCCAAUUUUGUGCGAUCUGAUUCCAUAUUGGAUGAUGACGCUACCACAUUCGACAUGCCCACCGGCUCCUCUAUGCACAGUCCCUAUGGUCCCAUUUGCCCGAAGAGCAGCACGACCAACAGCUGGAACAACUGGUUUCUGGGAAACGAUAUGAAGAGCAAUGCCGAGUUGCUGAGCGACAAAAACAGCGAUUUGGGAUAUGGGGGCUUCAAAAGCGACAGAAAUGAUAAUUACAAUGCCAACAAGCUGCAGCAGCCAAUAUGGGGCAGGAAGCCGCAGUUGAUGUCGGAGGACAGCUUCGAGGGUGGCAUCGAUAGCGGAAUGAUGCUGCAGUUGGAGAAGAACCUGGUGGACAUCGUUGACCCGGAUGAUAGUGGCAUUAAGGUGGACUAAGUGGCAGCCGGCCAGAGUAUAUGUCUAUAUAUGGGAUUAUAUAGAGUAAUAGAGAGAAAAAGAAAGUAUAUGUAUAAUGCAAUCAUUUUACACAUCGUUAGAGCCAAAAACACAAGGAGGAUGAUGCGGAAGCACUUUCGAUAUCUGGAGUUGUUCAAAAUUGUAGAGCGGUGAUGAUUUUUUACAAGGAACUGUACUCUAAUUAUUUGAAUCUUGAUCACAAGACUUUAAACUCAAAUUGUAAUUUAAAUUAUAAUUAAUUGUGUGUUUGUCAUCUCCCCCAUCCCAUCCCCCCCCGAUUAGUUGUGAUCAAAUUUUUUGGUUCAUUUUCUAACGCUGUACACAUAGAUAUAUUAUUAUAUAUAUACAUACAAAAUAU
Molecule: unclassified non-coding RNA, 3083 nt
Filed under: Drosophila ananassae
Lineage: Eukaryota; Metazoa; Arthropoda; Insecta; Diptera; Drosophilidae
Description: GF24386
Source: RNAcentral